Molecule: small RNA, 863 nt
Filed under: Pongo abelii (Sumatran orangutan)
Lineage: Eukaryota; Metazoa; Chordata; Mammalia; Primates; Hominidae
Description: processed transcript
Source: RNAcentral
AUGAUGAUGCUACCCCACCACCAGUGAUUGCUCCACGCCCAGAGCACACAAAAUCUUGCUUCAGGCACCGUGUACACUGCAAUGGAUGUGGCCACAGGACAGGAGGUGGCCAUUAAGCAGAUGAAUCUUCAGCAGCAGCCCAAGAAAGAGCUGAUUAUUAAUGAGAUCCUGGUCAUGAGGGAAAACAAGAACCCAAACAUUGUGAAUUACUUGGACAGUUACCUCGUGGGAGAUGAGCUGUGGGUUGUUAUGGAAUACUUGGCUGGAGGCUCCUUGACAGACGUGGUGACAGAAACCUGCAUGGAUGAAGGCCAGAUUGCAGCUGUGUGCCGUGAGUGUCUGCAGGCUCUGGAGUUUUUGCAUUCGAACCAGGUCAUUCACAGAGACAUCAAGAGUGACAAUAUUCUGUUGGGAAUGGAUGGCUCUGUCAAGCUAACUGACUUUGGAUUCUGUGCACAGAUAACCCCAGAGCAGAGCAAACGGAGCACCAUGGUAGGAACCCCAUACUGGAUGGCACCAGAGGUUGUGACACGAAAGGCCUAUGGGCCCAAGGUUGACAUCUGGUCCCUGGGCAUCAUGGCCAUCGAAAUGAUUGAAGGGGAGCCUCCAUACCUCAAUGAAAACCCUCUGAGAGCCUUGUACCUCAUUGCCACCAAUGGGACCCCAGAACUUCAGAACCCAGAGAAGCUGUCAGCUAUCUUCCGGGACUUUCUGAACCGCUGUCUCGAGAUGGAUGUGGAGAAGAGAGGUUCAGCUAAAGAGCUGCUACAGCAUCAAUUCCUGAAGAUUGCCAAGCCCCUCUCCAGCCUCACUCCACUGAUUGCUGCAGCAAAGGAGGCAACAAAGAACAAUCACUAAAACCA